AAUAUAUCGGAACGUGCCCAGUCGUGGGGGAUAACGCAGCGAAAGCUGUGCUAAUACCGCAUACGAUCUAUGGAUGAAAGCGGGGGAUCGCAAGACCUCGCGCGAUUGGAGCGGCCGAUAUCAGAUUAGCUAGUUGGCGGGGUAAAAGCCCACCAAGGCGACGAUCUGUAGCUGGUCUGAGAGGACGACCAGCCACACUGGAACUGAGACACGGUCCAGACUCCUACGGGAGGCAGCAGUGGGGAAUUUUGGACAAUGGGCGAAAGCCUGAUCCAGCAAUGCCGCGUGCAGGAUGAAGGCCUUCGGGUUGUAAACUGCUUUUGUACGGAACGAAACGGUCUCUCCUAAUACGAGGGGCUAAUGACGGUACCGUAAGAAUAAGCACCGGCUAACUACGUGCCAGCAGCCGCGGUAAUACGUAGGGUGCAAGCGUUAAUCGGAAUUACUGGGCGUAAAGCGUGCGCAGGCGGUGAUGUAAGACAGAUGUGAAAUCCCCGGGCUCAACCUGGGACCUGCAUUUGUGACUGCAUCGCUAGAGUACGGUAGAGGGGGAUGGAAUUCCGCGUGUAGCAGUGAAAUGCGUAGAUAUGCGGAGGAACACCGAUGGCGAAG
RNAcentral lists this ribosomal RNA (612 nucleotides) under uncultured bacterium. RNAcentral describes it as "bacterial SSU rRNA". It matches the Rfam family "Bacterial small subunit ribosomal RNA", at positions 112 to 720 of the family's 1533-position model. The record is from RNAcentral.